This 84-nucleotide transfer RNA is filed under the name bacterium. RNAcentral describes it as "tRNA-Leu". The record is from RNAcentral.
GCCCAGGUGAUGAAAUUGGUAGACAUGCACCCUUGAGGGGGGUGUGUCCUUAUGGACGUGCUGGUUCAACUCCAGUCCUGGGCA